UCCGAGUUGACCCCGGCAGUCUCCGAUGAGUCCCCAUCAGGCCGAAGCCCAUGCUGGCAACAUCGAACAAGGGUUGCGCUCGUUGCGGGACUUAACCCAACAUCUCACGACACGAGCUGACGACAACCAUGCACCACCUGUCCACCGACCAUAAAGGGGCACCUAUCUCUAGGUGUUUCCGGUGGAUGUCAAGCCUUGGUAAGGUUCUUCGCGUUGCGUCGAAUUAAGCCACAUGCUCCGCUGCUUGUGCGGGCCCCCGUCAAUUCCUUUGAGUUUUAGCCUUGCGGCCGUACUCCCCAGGCGGGGCACUUAAUGCGUUAGCUGCGGCGCAGACGACGUGGAAUGUCGCCCACACCUAGUGCCCAUCGUUUACGGCGUGGACUAC
Molecule: unclassified non-coding RNA, 385 nt
Filed under: uncultured Actinomycetes bacterium
Lineage: Bacteria; Bacillati; Actinomycetota; Actinomycetes
Description: uncultured actinobacterium contains 16S-23S intergenic spacer region
Source: RNAcentral